This 400-nucleotide ribosomal RNA is filed under the name uncultured bacterium. RNAcentral describes it as "bacterial SSU rRNA". It matches the Rfam family "Bacterial small subunit ribosomal RNA", at positions 355 to 772 of the family's 1533-position model. The record is from RNAcentral.
UGGGGAAUAUUGGACAAUGGGCGCAAGCCUGAUCCAGCCAUGCCGCGUGAGUGAUGAAGGCCUUAGGGUUGUAAAGCUCUUUCGUCAGGGAAGAUAAUGACGGUACCUGAAGAAGAAGCCCCGGCUAACUUCGUGCCAGCAGCCGCGGUAAUACGAAGGGGGCUAGCGUUGCUCGGAAUCACUGGGCGUAAAGCGCACGUAGGCGGCUUUCUAAGUCAGGGGUGAAAUCCCGGAGCUCAACUCCGGAACUGCCUUUGAUACUGGAAAGCUUGAGUUCGGGAGAGGUGAGUGGAACUGCGAGUGUAGAGGUGAAAUUCGUAGAUAUUCGCAAGAACACCAGUGGCGAAGGCGGCUCACUGGCCCGAUACUGACGCUGAGGUGCGAAAGCGUGGGGAGCAAA